GUUAUUGUUUAUUUGAUACAACAAAUGGAUAACUGUAGAAAAACUAGAGCUAAUACAUGCUUUAAUCGUAAGAUUGUAUUUAUUAGAUAUUCUGAAUUGGUGAAUCAUAAUAACUUCGCAAAUCUCGUUUAUGACGAGAUAAAUCAUCCAAGUUUCUGCCCUAUCAUGCUUUCGAUGGUAGUGUAUUGGACUACCAUGGCUCUCACGGGUAACAGGGAAUUAGGGUUCGAUUCUGGAGAAGGAGCCUGAGAAACGGCUACUACAUCUACGGAAGGCAGCAGGCGCGUAAAUUACCCAAUCCUGACUCAGGGAGGUGGUGACAAGAUAUAACGACGCGGUUAUUAUCGCGAUUGUAGUGAGGGUAUUCUAAACAGAACCUAUAGUACGAUUAGAGGGCAAGUCUGGUGCCAGCAGCCGCGGUAAUUCCAGCUCUAAUAGCGUAUAUUAAAGUUGCUGCAGUUAAAAAGCUCGUAGUUGGAUUUCAAGGAUUGUAGAACCUCCACGGGGAUACAUCCUACUAGUCUUCGGACUGUUACUGUGAGAAAAUUAGAGUGUUUCAAGCAGGCUUUCGCAAGAAUACAUUAGCAUGGAAUAACGAAUGUAUUUAGAAUCUUGGUUAAUUCUAAAUUACGAUUAAUAGAGACAGUUGGGGGCAUUAGUAUUUAAUUGUCAGAGGUGAAAUUCUUGGAUUUGUUAAAGACUAACGUAUGCGAAAGCAUUUGCCAA
This 726-nucleotide ribosomal RNA is filed under the name Polyplastron multivesiculatum. Its description in RNAcentral is "SSU rRNA". It matches the Rfam family "Eukaryotic small subunit ribosomal RNA", at positions 109 to 961 of the family's 1831-position model. The record is from RNAcentral. Lineage: Eukaryota; Ciliophora; Litostomatea; Entodiniomorphida; Ophryoscolecidae.